UGGGGGAUAUUGGACAAUGGGGGGAACCCUGAUCCAGCGAUGCCGCGUGGGUGAAGAAGGCCUUUGGGUUGUAAAGCCCUUUAGGUUGGGACGAAGUGCUAGAGUUUAAGAGAUACUAGCAUUGACGGUACCGACAGAAUAAGCACCGGCAAACUCUGUGCCAGCAGCCGCGGUAAUACAGAGGGUGCGAGCGUUAAUCGGAAUUACUGGGCGUAAAAGGCGCGUAGGCGGUGAGGGAAGUGGGAUGUGAAAGUCCAGGGCUUAACCUUGGGAUUGCAUUCUAGACUCUCUGACUGGAGUAUAGGAGAGGGUGGCGGAAUUUCCGGUGUAGCGGUGAAAUGCGUAGAGAUCGGAAGGAACGUCGAUGGCGAAGGCAGCCACCUGGCCUGAUACUGACGCUGAGGCGCGAGAGCGUGGGGAGCGAACAG
This 428-nucleotide ribosomal RNA is filed under the name uncultured bacterium. Its description in RNAcentral is "bacterial SSU rRNA". It matches the Rfam family "Bacterial small subunit ribosomal RNA", at positions 355 to 775 of the family's 1533-position model. The record is from RNAcentral.